This 477-nucleotide ribosomal RNA is filed under the name uncultured Planctomycetales bacterium. RNAcentral describes it as "bacterial SSU rRNA". It matches the Rfam family "Bacterial small subunit ribosomal RNA", at positions 365 to 832 of the family's 1533-position model. Lineage: Bacteria; Pseudomonadati; Planctomycetota; Planctomycetia; Planctomycetales. The record is from RNAcentral.
UUCGCAAUGCCCGAAAGGGUGACGAAGCGACGCCGCGUGCGGGAAGAAGGCCUUCGGGUUGUAAACCGCUGUCGGGAGUUAAGAAAUGUAAGGAUGUUAAUAGCAUCUUUGCUUGACUAAGGCUCCGGAGGAAGCCACGGCUAACUCUGUGCCAGCAGCCGCGGUAAUACAGAGGCGGCAAGCGUUGUUCGGAAUUAUUGGGCGUAAAGAGCACGUAGGCGGCUAUGUAAGUCGGUUGUGAGAGCCUUCCGCUCAACGGGAGAACAGCAUCCGAUACUGCAUGGCUUGAGUGCGGGAGGGGAGAGUGGAACUUCUGGUGGAGCGGUGAAAUGCGUAGAUAUCAGAAGGAACGCCGGCGGCGAAAGCGGCUCUCUGGCCCAUAACUGACGCUGAGUGUGCGAAAGCUAGGGGAGCAAACGGGAUUAGAUACCCCGGUAGUCCUAGCCGUAAACGAUGGGCACUAAGUAGAGGGGUUUU